GGCCUAUUAGCUCAAUGGUGGAGCAACCGGCUGUUAACCGGUAGGUUGUAGGUUCGAGUCCUACAUAGGCCGCCA
Molecule: transfer RNA, 75 nt
Filed under: Kiritimatiellia bacterium
Lineage: Bacteria; Pseudomonadati; Kiritimatiellota; Kiritimatiellia
Description: Kiritimatiellae bacterium (gut metagenome) tRNA-Asn
Rfam family: tRNA
About the family: Transfer RNA (tRNA) molecules are approximately 80 nucleotides in length. Their secondary structure includes four short double-helical elements and three loops (D, anti-codon, and T loops).
Source: RNAcentral